Molecule: unclassified non-coding RNA, 276 nt
Filed under: plant metagenome
Description: partial contains small subunit ribosomal RNA, internal transcribed spacer 1, and 5.8S ribosomal RNA
Rfam family: 5.8S ribosomal RNA (bases 228-276)
Source: RNAcentral
UUUCCGUAGGUGAACCUGCGGAAGGAUCAUUAUCGAAAUACUUAUUUAGCGUUCCUUGCUAUCCCAUUGUUUUAUUUACCCUGUUGCUUCCACUGGAUGAGUUUCCAUACCUUGUGUUUGAGAAACUUUGGCUUGUGUAAGAUUCAUUCACGGCCAGCCAGUGAGAAGACCAUUUACAAAACCCUGUUAAGAACCAAUUGUCUGAAUAUUUUACUCCAAUGAAAUAAAACUUUCUACAACGGAUCUCUAGGCUCUUGCAUCGAUGAAGAACGCAGC